UGGCCUCAAAUCAGGUAGGACUACCCGCUGAACUUAAGCAUAUCAAUAAGCGGAGGAAAAGAAACUAACAAGGAUUCCCCUAGUAACUGCGAGUGAAGAGGGAAAAGCUCAAAUUUAAAAUCUGGCAGCUUCGCUGUCCGAGUUGUAAUUUAGAGAAGU
This 159-nucleotide ribosomal RNA is filed under the name Marasmius nummularius. Its description in RNAcentral is "partial large subunit ribosomal RNA". It matches the Rfam family "Eukaryotic large subunit ribosomal RNA", at positions 1 to 159 of the family's 3401-position model. Lineage: Eukaryota; Fungi; Basidiomycota; Agaricomycetes; Agaricales; Marasmiaceae. The record is from RNAcentral.